AAGAAAUUAGUUAAUUAAUAAUAAAAGCUUGUCAAGUUUUAGUAGCUAUAAGAUAGCAUUUCUUU
Molecule: transfer RNA, 65 nt
Filed under: Enoplochiton echinatus
Lineage: Eukaryota; Metazoa; Mollusca; Polyplacophora; Chitonida; Chitonidae
Description: tRNA-Asp
Source: RNAcentral